AGUGAACGCUGGCGGUAGGCCUAACACAUGCAAGUCGAACGGCAGCACAGUAAGAGCUUGCUCUUACGGGUGGCGAGUGGCGGACGGGUGAGGAAUACAUCGGAAUCUACUUUUUCGUGGGGGAUAACGUAGGGAAACUUACGCUAAUACCGCAUACGACCUACGGGUGAAAGCAGGGGAUCUUCGGACCUUGCGCGAUUGAAUGAGCCGAUGUCGGAUUAGCUAGUUGGCGGGGUAAAGGCCCACCAAGGCGACGAUCCGUAGCUGGUCUGAGAGGAUGAUCAGCCACACUGGAACUGAGACACGGUCCAGACUCAUACGGGAGGCAGCAGUGGGGAAUAUUGGACAAGGGGCGCAAGCCUGAUCCAGCCAUACCGCGAGGGUGAAGAAGGCCUGCGGGUUGUAAAGCCCUUUUGUUGGGAAAGAAAAGCAGCAGGUUAAUACCCCGCUGUUCGGACGGGACCCAAAGAAUAAGCACCGGCUAACUUCGU
RNAcentral lists this ribosomal RNA (491 nucleotides) under uncultured bacterium. Its description in RNAcentral is "partial 16S ribosomal RNA". It matches the Rfam family "Bacterial small subunit ribosomal RNA", at positions 29 to 506 of the family's 1533-position model. The record is from RNAcentral.